This is a long non-coding RNA of Drosophila sulfurigaster albostrigata, 718 nucleotides long. RefSeq lists it as uncharacterized. The transcript has 3 exons. The record is from RefSeq and is a predicted model, not a curated record. NCBI's taxonomy places the organism in Eukaryota, Metazoa, Arthropoda, Insecta, Diptera, Drosophilidae.
UCCAAAUAAUAAAAUUAUAUGAAUAUUCCAUAACGUUAUUAGAAAACAAAUCAAUAAAAACGAUUCGCAAAAUUCCAUGGAAAUUGUAAUGCGACACAAGGCCGUCUGAUGUUCUACUUUAAGUUGUCAACGCCAAAGGCUGGUUUAAAGUGGCGACAACCUUUAUAGUCGCCACCCCCAACUGGCUCCCACAUUUUUGAGGGCAAUUCACUCUACCUGCGGGGUAAUUUGAAACAGGAACAGGAAGGGUGAAUAAAUUGGUUUCUGUCGCAUAAAGCCAUUACUUGGCAGCCAGCACAAAGGACCUACAACAACAGUACAGUCGCUGUAAAAGAGGCAAAAACAAAAGCAACAACAACAACAACAACAGCAAGAGCACCAAGGACAACGUUAUUGCUGCUGCUGCUGCUUUGGUGCCAACAACAGAUCAAAGGGUUUUAUUGUGGCCCUUGCCGUUGCCAGCGUACAAUUGGACUUUUGAUUUUUAAAACGCGUCAGUGUUGCCGAACGAAUAAUAAUUUAAUUGAUUUACAACCCUCUGAAUAUAUGCAAAAUCAAAAGAGUGGCGUUUGUAAUAGGAAAAGUAUUCAAAGGAAAAGUAUUGCUGGAUUAAAUGCAUGAAGAGUGAGCUAAACUGUGUAGUAUUAAGCGGAGACUAAUAACAAUAAAUGUCGAAAUAUAAGUCAAAAUAAUAUUUUGUAUAUAGGAAAUAAACAAA